ACGGAGGGUGCAAGCGUUAUUCGGAAUUACUGGGCGUAAAGCGCGUGUAGGCGGUCCCGCAAGUCUGAUGUGAAAGCCCCGGGCUUAACCCGGGAAGUGCAUUGGAAACUGUGGGUCUUGAGUACUGGAGAGGAUGAAGGAAUUCCCGGUGUAGGGGUGAAAUGCGUAGAGAUCGGGAGGAAUAGCAGUGGCGAAGGCGACCAACUGGACGAUAACUGACGCUGAGACGCGAAAGCGUGGGGAGCAAACAG
Molecule: ribosomal RNA, 251 nt
Filed under: uncultured prokaryote
Description: partial 16S rRNA
Rfam family: Bacterial small subunit ribosomal RNA
Source: RNAcentral